RNAcentral lists this ribosomal RNA (490 nucleotides) under uncultured bacterium. Its description in RNAcentral is "partial 16S ribosomal RNA". It matches the Rfam family "Bacterial small subunit ribosomal RNA", at positions 29 to 507 of the family's 1533-position model. The record is from RNAcentral.
AGUGAACGCUGGCGGUAGGCCUAACACAUGCAAGUCGAACGGCAGCACAGGAGAGCUUGCUCUCUGGGUGGCGAGUGGCGGACGGGUGAGGAAUACAUCGGAAUCUACCUUUUCGUGGGGGAUAACGUAGGGAAACUUACGCUAAUACCGCAUACGACCUACGGGUGAAAGUGGGGGACCGCAAGGCCUCACGCGAUUAGAUGAGCCGAUGUCCGAUUAGCUAGUUGGCGGGGUAAUGGCCCACCAAGGCGACGAUCGGUAGCUGGUCUGAGAGGAUGAUCAGCCACACUGGAACUGAGACACGGUCCAGACUCCUACGGGAGGCAGCAGUGGGGAAUAUUGGACAAUGGGCGCAAGCCUGAUCCAGCCAUACCGCGUGGGUGAAGAAGGCCUUCGGGUUGUAAAGCCCUUUUGUUGGGAAAGAAAUCCUGUCGAUUAAUACUUGGUGGGGAUGACGGUACCCAAAGAAUAAGCACCGGCUAACUUCGUG